RNAcentral lists this ribosomal RNA (512 nucleotides) under uncultured bacterium. RNAcentral's name for it is "bacterial SSU rRNA". It matches the Rfam family "Bacterial small subunit ribosomal RNA", at positions 15 to 518 of the family's 1533-position model. The record is from RNAcentral.
GAUCAUGGCUCAGGAUGAACGCUAGCUACAGGCUUAACACAUGCAAGUCGAGGGGUAACAGGAGAGAAGCUUGCUUUCUUGCUGACGACCGGCGCACGGGUGAGUAACGCGUAUCCAACCUUCCCCAUAGUAGAGGAUAGCCCGGCGAAAGUCGGAUUAAUACUCUAUGUUCUUCGAAGAGGACAUCUGAUUUGAAGCAAAGAUUUAUCGCUAUGGGAUGGGGAUGCGUCUGAUUAGCUUGAUGGCGGGGUAACGGCCCACCAUGGCGACGAUCAGUAGGGUUCUGAGAGGAAGGUCCCCCACAUUGGUACUGAGACACGGACCAAACUCCUACGGGAGGCAGCAGUGAGGAAUAUUGGUCAAUGGACGAGAGUCUGAACCAGCCAAGUAGCGUGCAGGACGACUGCCCUAUGGGUUGUAAACUGCUUUUAUAGGGGAAUAAAGUCCACUACGUGUAGUGGUUUGUAUGUACCCUAUGAAUAAGGACCGGCUAAUUCCGUGCCAGCAGCGGC